Molecule: long non-coding RNA, 900 nt
Filed under: Pan troglodytes (chimpanzee)
Lineage: Eukaryota; Metazoa; Chordata; Mammalia; Primates; Hominidae
Description: lincRNA
Source: RNAcentral
CCUGCCUUUGCCUCUCCUUUGUCUUCUGCCGUGAGUGUGAGGCCUCCCCAGCCAUGUGGAACUCAAAGGCUUGACUGAAGUCACGGGUCUCAUCAUUCCUUUCCUAAGCUUUCUUCAAACAGCAUGGUACGUGGAUGAGGACACACGUGCUCUGUAGAAGGUGGGGCCACAAAGCCCUGCCAACCGACGUUUCCUGCCUUCUGCCUCUAAGGUGCAACCCUGAAAGCACCUCUGGAAUCUUUGGGGCUCAGGGAGCACAGCCUGGAAGCAGGGGGAUACUCCCCAGGGCUGCAGUCCACCUCGGAAGCUGCUCACCACAGGUGUCUGCUUACACUUCGAUUCAGAUCACAUAAGAUAAACAAGCAGCUCUUCGGCUUCUGAGCCACCCUUCAAGAGCACAGCCACUCGUGGCUAAUGGCUGCUGACUGGAACCCUGGAUGGCCCAAUCUGGAACUUUUCAUCACCCCAGAGCAUCCUGUGCAGUGCUUCUCCCGAGGAGCCCUGCAGGCAGUGACCUCCAGCUCCGAGCCUGAUCCCACAUGAGCGGGAAGAAGACAGCCCAGGGAGGCUGACCACAGCCACAAGCUCAUUUCUCAUGGGAAACCACAAAUGGGAGAUGCCAAGAAAUUAGAAUAGAGGAUGCUCCAGAGCAGACGCUCCUGUUUACAGAGCUGAAACUCAGUACUCAUUAAACAACUCCCUCCUGCAGCCACGCUGGGAGCUGACACUCUCCACACAUGCUUCAUGCACCCAGGCGCUCAUCCAGGGAUCAUCCUGUACCUCAAAUACCCCCAAGAACUGUCCUGCCCCAGGACCUUUGCACAUGCUGGACCCACUACCUGUGAUGCCGUCUUCUGGCUCACCACGUGGCUGGCUCCGUCUCAUUCAUUGGUCUCAGCC